AUUAAACGCUGGCGGCAUGCCUUACACAUGCAAGUCGAACGGCAGCACGGGGGCAACCCUGGUGGCGAGUGGCGAACGGGUGAGUAAAGCAUCGGAACGUGCCCUGGAGUGGGGGAUAACGUAGCGAAGUUACGCUAAUACCGCAUAUUCUGUGAGCAGGAAAGCAGGGGAUCGCAAGACCUUGCGCUCUGGGAGCGGCCGAUGUCGGAUUAGCUAGUUGGUGGGGUAAAGGCUUACCAAGGCGACGAUCCGUAGCGGGUCUGAGAGGAUGAUCCGCCACACUGGGACUGAGACACGGCCCAGACUCCUACGGGAGGCAGCAGUGGGGAAUUUUGGGACAAUGGGCGAAAGCCUGAUCCAGCCAUGCCGCGUGAGUGAAGAAGGCC
Molecule: ribosomal RNA, 386 nt
Filed under: uncultured bacterium
Lineage: Bacteria
Description: bacterial SSU rRNA
Rfam family: Bacterial small subunit ribosomal RNA
Source: RNAcentral